UAGGGAAUCUUCGGCAAUGGGGGGAACCCUGACCGAGCAACGCCGCGUGAGUGAAGAAGGUUUUCGGAUCGUAAAGCUCUGUUGUUAAGGAAGAACGAGUGUGAGAAUGGAAAGUUCAUGCUGUGACGGUACUUAACCAGAAAGGGACGGCUAACUACGUGCCAGCAGCCGCGGUAAUACGUAGGUCCCGAGCGUUGUCCGGAUUUAUUGGGCGUAAAGCGAGCGCAGGCGGUUAGAAAAGUCUGAAGUGAAAGGCAGGGGCUCAACCAUUGUAGGCUUUGGAAACUGUUUAACUUGAGUGCAGAAGGGGAGAGUGGAAUUCCAUGUGUAGCGGUGAAAUGCGUAGAUAUAUGGAGGAACACCGGUGGCGAAAGCGGCUCUCUGGUCUGUAACUGACGCUGAGGCUCGAAAGCGUGGGGAGCGAACAGG
RNAcentral lists this ribosomal RNA (429 nucleotides) under Verrucomicrobiota bacterium. RNAcentral's name for it is "Verrucomicrobia bacterium partial 16S ribosomal RNA". It matches the Rfam family "Bacterial small subunit ribosomal RNA", at positions 355 to 776 of the family's 1533-position model. The record is from RNAcentral. Lineage: Bacteria; Pseudomonadati; Verrucomicrobiota.